This 465-nucleotide ribosomal RNA is filed under the name Vreelandella stevensii. Its description in RNAcentral is "partial 16S ribosomal RNA". It matches the Rfam family "Bacterial small subunit ribosomal RNA", at positions 338 to 795 of the family's 1533-position model. The record is from RNAcentral. Lineage: Bacteria; Pseudomonadati; Pseudomonadota; Gammaproteobacteria; Oceanospirillales; Halomonadaceae.
CCUACGGGAGGCUGCAGUGGGGAAUAUUGGACAAUGGGGGGAACCCUGAUCCAGCCAUGCCGCGUGUGUGAAGAAGGCCCUCGGGUUGUAAAGCACUUUCAGUGAGGAAGAACGCCUGGUGGUUAAUACCCAUCAGGAAAGACAUCACUCACAGAAGAAGCACCGGCUAACUCCGUGCCAGCAGCCGCGGUAAUACGGAGGGUGCGAGCGUUAAUCGGAAUUACUGGGCGUAAAGCGCGCGUAGGUGGCUUGAUAAGCCGGUUGUGAAAGCCUCGGGCUCAACCUGGGAACGGCAUCCGGAACUGUCAAGCUAGUGUGCAGGAGAGGAAGGUAGAAUUCCCGGUGUAGCGGUGAAAUGCGUAGAGCUCGGGAGGAAUACCAGUGGCGAAGGCGGCCUUCUGGACUGACACUGACACUGAGGUGCGAAAGCGUGGGUAGCAAACAGGAUUAGAUACCCCGGUAGUC